CACGGGACCCAGCUCACUGUUUUAGGUCAGCCCAAGGCCACCCCCUCGGUCACUCUGUUCCCGCCAUCCUUUGAGGAGCUCCAAGCCAACAAGGCCACGCUGGUGUGUCACAAGAGUGACUUCUAUCCGGGAAUCUUGACGGUGACCUGGAAGGCAGAUGGUACCCCCAUCACGCAGGGCAUGGAGAUGACCACGCCCUCCAAACAGCAAGAAGUACGCAGCCAGCAGCUACCUGAGCCUGACUCCCGAGCAUUGGAGGUCCCGUAGAAGCUACAGCUGCCAGGUCACACAUGGAGCACCAUGGAGAAGACAGUGACCCCUGCAGAAUGUUCGUAGGUUCCCAACCCUCACCCCAUCCACAGGGGCCUGGAGCUGCAGGAUCCCAGGGGAGGGGUCUCUCUGCAUCCCAAGCCAUCCAGCCCUUCUCCAUGUACCCAGUAAACCCUCAAUAAAUAUCCUCUUUGUCAAC
RNA transcript from Mandrillus leucophaeus (drill), 469 nucleotides. It is a transcript of the gene named immunoglobulin lambda-like polypeptide 1, with no coding region annotated. The transcript has 2 exons. The record is from RefSeq and is a predicted model, not a curated record. Lineage: Eukaryota; Metazoa; Chordata; Mammalia; Primates; Cercopithecidae.